UGAGGAAUAUUGGUCAAUGGUCGCAAGACUGAACCAGCCAUGCCGCGUGCAGGAAGACGGUCCUAUGGAUUGUAAACUGCUUUUAUACAGGAAGAAACCCUCCCACGUGUGGGAGCUUGACGGUACUGUAGGAAUAAGGAUCGGCUAACUCCGUGCCAGCAGCCGCGGUAAUACGGAGGAUCCAAGCGUUAUCCGGAAUCAUUGGGUUUAAAGGGUCCGUAGGCGGUCUUAUAAGUCAGUGGUGAAAGCCCAUCGCUCAACGAUGGAACUGCCAUUGAUACUGUAAGACUUGAAUGCUUAGGAAGUAACUAGAAUAUGUAGUGUAGCGGUGAAAUGCUUAGAUAUUACAUGGAAUACCAAUUGCGAAGGCAGGUUACUACUAAGUGAUUGACGCUGAUGGACGAAAGCGUGGGGAGCGAACAGGAUUAGAUACCCUGGUAGUCCACGCCGUAAACGAUGGAUACUAGCUGUUCGGCGCAAGUUGAGUGGCUAAGCGAAAGUGAUAAGUAUCCCACCUGGGGAGUACGCACGCAAGUGUGAAACUUAAAGGAAUUGACGGGGUCAUAGCUGUUUCC
Molecule: ribosomal RNA, 575 nt
Filed under: uncultured bacterium
Lineage: Bacteria
Description: partial 16S ribosomal RNA
Rfam family: Bacterial small subunit ribosomal RNA
Source: RNAcentral